This 406-nucleotide ribosomal RNA is filed under the name uncultured bacterium. RNAcentral describes it as "partial 16S ribosomal RNA". It matches the Rfam family "Bacterial small subunit ribosomal RNA", at positions 30 to 526 of the family's 1533-position model. The record is from RNAcentral.
AUUGAACGCUGGCGGCAGGCCUAACACAUGCAAGUCGAGCGAGCGGCGGACGGGUGAGUAAUGUCUGGGAAACUGCCUGAUGGAGGGGGUUAACUACUGGAAACGGUAGCUAAUACCGCAUACCAUCAGAUGUGCCCAGGUGGGAUUAGCUAGUAGGUGGGGUAACGGCUCACCUAGGCGACGAUCCCUAGCUGGUCUGAGAGGAUGACCAGCCCCACGGGAACUAGGAUACGGUCCAGACUCCUACGGAAGGCAGAAGUGGGGAAUAUUGCACAAUGGACGCAAGCCUGAUGCAGCCAUGCCGCGUGUGUGAAGAAGGCCUUCGGGUUGUAAAGCACUUUCAGCGGGGAGGCGUUACCCGAAGAAGAAGCACGGGCUAACUCCGUGCCAGCCGCCGCGGUAAUUC